CAGCCACUGGCUUCCCUCACCCGGCCUUCUCCUCCCAGCUGGGAAGCCACUCUCUCCUGCAGUCACCUUGAAUUCCCGGAAGGUCAUGUCUGUUCGAUAAAUAUCAUUACGACAAGGGACUUAAACUACCUAAAGCACCAGCGAGUCUGGAGUCUCUCUCAAGUCUCAUCUCAUGAUGAGAUUGGAGCACUAACCCUAUGGCCGGGGUCUGGGCCCCCCUCAAGCAGAAGUCCUCUUCCCGUGAAGGGAACUGAGUCACCCCUGCCAGUCCUGAUGGCUUUCCUGAGGCUCCACAGAAGCCAUCUGUGCCCUGACUGAGAUCACCUGCAUUGGCAGCUGUGCCAUCCAGCGGCUCUGCACACCCCACCCCCUGCCCUUGUUCCCCUUUUCUACAUAACCUCAAAGGUCCUGUCAGCCC
RNAcentral lists this long non-coding RNA (418 nucleotides) under Fukomys damarensis (Damara mole-rat). RNAcentral's name for it is "lncRNA (ENSFDAG00000030948.1)". The record is from RNAcentral. Lineage: Eukaryota; Metazoa; Chordata; Mammalia; Rodentia; Bathyergidae.